AAGAAAGAAAUUGAAACUCAGAGACUUACCCAAGGUCACCUGGAGCAGGAGCUGGUGAACGUGUGGAUGCGGCGUGGGAGUGACGCUGGUGACUGCACAGACGAGCGCCCCUGCCACAGCUUGCUCCAAAGCACACACCCAGCCCCAGUGAUGGAGGGAACGUCCGUCACCUCCUGGCAGCUCCAGCAGGCAGGGAAAAGCCAAGAAACUUGGGGCUGGAAGUCACCUGGGGGGAGUGGGCAGCAGGAUAAAGAGUUGUGCUUAUAAAACACACAUCCAGAAACAAUGUCCCGGCCCUAGUUCCAGCUUCCCUAAGGAACUGUGCUUGUCGGCACUAAAAUAUCAUUUUAGGUAUGAGAGAGCCAGAGCCGGAGGGCGUGGGGAGGAGUAAUAAGGUGCCUUUUAAAAACACGACAUCUGUAUUUGCCCUGAAAUAUUUCAGCAAGAAAUGAAAAUAGACAGAGAAGAGAUAAAUGAAGCAAGCGUGGCAAAAUCGUGAUAGCUGUUAAAUCCAGGUGGUGGGUAUACAGCCCUCCACUUCUGUGCGUUAUGAAACUUCUAGCACAAAGAAAAAAUACAGAAAGAACAAUAAAAACUCAGCCUCUUCAUUUUAUUGUAUGUAAGGUAUACCUGAAUACCGUUAAUUUUUAGGAGUUUUAAAAUAAAAGUCAGACUACAUGGA
Long non-coding RNA from Aethalodelphis obliquidens (Pacific white-sided dolphin), 682 nucleotides. RefSeq lists it as uncharacterized. The record is from RefSeq and is a predicted model, not a curated record. The transcript has 2 exons. NCBI's taxonomy places the organism in Eukaryota, Metazoa, Chordata, Mammalia, Artiodactyla, Delphinidae.